Molecule: ribosomal RNA, 253 nt
Filed under: uncultured bacterium
Lineage: Bacteria
Description: partial 16S ribosomal RNA
Rfam family: Bacterial small subunit ribosomal RNA
Source: RNAcentral
UACAGAGGUCUCAAGCGUUGUUCGGAUUCAUUGGGCGUAAAGGGUGUGUAGGUGGCGCCGUAAGUCGGGUGUGAAAUUUCAGAGCUUAACUCCGAAACUGCAUUCGAUACUGCGGUGCUUGAGGACUGGAGAGGAGACUGGAAUUCAUGGUGUAGCAGUGAAAUGCGUAGAGAUCAUGAGGAAGACCAGUGGCGAAGGCGGGUCUCUGGACAGUUCCUGACACUGAGACACGAAGGCCAGGGGAGCAAACGGG